This 253-nucleotide ribosomal RNA is filed under the name uncultured bacterium. RNAcentral describes it as "partial 16S ribosomal RNA". It matches the Rfam family "Bacterial small subunit ribosomal RNA", at positions 524 to 776 of the family's 1533-position model. The record is from RNAcentral.
UACGGGGGGGGCAAGCGUUGUUCGGAAUUACUGGGCGUAAAGGGCUCGUAGGCGGCCAACUAAGUCAGAUGUGAAAGCCCCAGGCUCAACCUGGGAACUGCAUCUGAUACUGGAUGGCUUGAAUCCGGGAGAGGGAUGCAGAAUUCCAGGUGUAGCGGUGAAAUGCGUAGAUAUCUGGAGGAAUACCGGUGGCGAAGGCGGCAUCCUGGACCGGCAUUGACGCUGAGGAGCGAAAGCUAGGGGAGCAAACGGG